This 1111-nucleotide long non-coding RNA is filed under the name Chloebia gouldiae (Gouldian finch). Its description in RNAcentral is "Erythrura gouldiae (Gouldian finch) lncRNA (ENSEGOG00005014407.1)". Lineage: Eukaryota; Metazoa; Chordata; Aves; Passeriformes; Passeridae. The record is from RNAcentral.
GGGAAGCUGAACAACAUCCAGGUGCAAAGGCUGAAGGACAAGCUGGGCACGAGGCAGAUGGCAACAGCAGAGCUGUGGCUGCAAGGAGCCAGAGCAGAGCUGGUACAGGUGAGAGGGGCGUUUCUGCUGCUUAUGGAGAUUGUUCACCUGCUGGGCCUGGCUGAAACCAACCUGGCGAGUGAGCAGGAGCAGCUGCUGCUGAGACUGCUCAUCCCAGUGGCCAAACUACACAGGAAAGCAGGUAAUGACCAACCUCUGGUAAGAGGGUGGCAGGACAAGAUCCUAUGUGUCACCAAGUCCCCUGCACAGCACUCUGGUUCCCUGCUAGAGACACACUCAAGGGAGAACACAGCCUUCCCAGGUUCACUCCAGGUGUGGCACCUCUUCCCUCACUCUUCCUGCUGAGCCCAGUCACCCCCAGGAAAGGACAGGAUGUGUUCCUGGUGCCGAGGCUGUUCCCUAGCACAGCAAUGGAGCUGAACUUCACUGCUCCCUUCCUCUUGUGAAACAAGAAUUCUCUGGAGAUAUCCUUGGUAUCCCUUACUUCUGCUCUGUGUCUUUGUUCCCUCACAUUCCCCUGCUUUGCUGCAGUCACUGCAAAGGCUCCCUUAUGCUCUUCCACACAGGUGCUGUCCAUAUGGGAGGGAACAACAAACAACUUGCCCCUGGAUGUGCUGCAAUCCCUUGCCAAGAGCAGGUUAUGGCUGUGUUCCUGUCCACAGUGCAGGUGAGCCCACAGCUGCAGCCCUGCUCAGCCUGAUGCACCCACCUUGGCAGAGCCUUCUUUGGGGUUUGUCCUCCUGGCUGAGGCUGGCAGGGACAGGCCGAAAUGGAAAGCUUUAGUAUUCCAACAAUUGGAAUUGUGUCUUACAAUUCUGCUCCUUAAAUAGCUCUUCCAAAAGCAGGAUGCAGGCAGUGCUAAUCCUGGGAUCUUUGUGUGCUUUCAGCUCAGCAGUGGGGAGCUUGACACUGUCAGAGUUCCUCAACACAGGUACCAAAAUAAGUGUAUUUUUAACGUGACUCACCUUCCUGAAUCCGAAAUAAUUUUGUGGGUUUGUUUCUUAACUGGAAAAUCACCACAGGACUACUGAAUGUUGAACCUCACUAGGGC